GAUCUGGCUCAGGACGAACGCUGGCGGCGUGCCUAAUACAUGCAAGUAGAACGCUGAAGAGAGGAGCUUGCUCUUCUUGGAUGAGUUGCGAACGGGUGAGUAACGCGUAGGUAACCUGCCUUGUAGCGGGGGAUAACUAUUGGAAACGAUAGCUAAUACCGCAUAACAAUGGAUGACACAUGUCAUUUAUUUGAAAGGGGCAAUUGUUCCACUACAAGAUGGACCUGCGUUGUAUUAG
RNAcentral lists this ribosomal RNA (238 nucleotides) under uncultured bacterium. Its description in RNAcentral is "partial 16S ribosomal RNA". It matches the Rfam family "Bacterial small subunit ribosomal RNA", at positions 15 to 244 of the family's 1533-position model. The record is from RNAcentral.